Molecule: long non-coding RNA, 1292 nt
Organism: Diachasma alloeum
Lineage: Eukaryota; Metazoa; Arthropoda; Insecta; Hymenoptera; Braconidae
Exons: 3
Source: RefSeq, a predicted model, not a curated record
GACUUUGUCACGCCCGACAAAUUGAAAUUUGAAAUUUUCUCAUUGCUCAAUUUCUUCAUCAGAUAUGCUCUGUUAAAUAUUUUUGUCUGCAAACUUUAGGGUCAUGUGAGAAGGCUGUGUGUAACUGAGUGAGGUAAUAAUUAGAGAUGCGCAUUCUUUUUGGAUCAAUGCCAGGAAAUCUUCAAGCAUUACACCCUCCAAUAGACUGAAUAAUUUUGGUCUCCAUAUAAUUCCCAUCAACACAGAUACAAUUGAUGAUUUAUUAAAAUGAAAGGGAUUAUGAAGAGGUUUGAGAGUAGAAUACUGGUGUUAAGAAGGUCUCGAGUCCUGUGCAAAAGGAGUAACGAUUAUACACUGAACCUCAAGGAGACUCAAUUGACAUGGGCAGCUCUCUAUCAGAUCGCUAUAUAUCAGUCUCAAUGGAUCUACAACUGUCUCAAGGGACCCGAGGGGUUAAUGAUUCACCGACACAGCGAUGAGCAUGCCCUACUUGAGUUUCAUCUUGCUCCAGAGAUAAAUGUCUUUGUUUUGUUGAGGACUUUGAUUGAUGAAACCGUGGAUUCCCGAAUCGAGCGGAACCUGAUGGGGAACUCUGCAGGGUUUAAAAAGCGAACAACAGCUGAAGGGACAGUAGGAGAAUGGGCCCUACAGUUCUACUACAAAUGGUUAUUGUACUUUCAAAAUGAAUUGUUCGUAUCAGUUUCGAUGAAUUUUCAGUUUUGCUAUCAAUAUAAAAGAAAAGCAGCGAAAACUAUCGACAUUCUGUCCUGACAAUCCAUCAUUGAGGCGCUUUGGAUUCAAGCGCUUGCAGGAUACGCUAAAGUAUUAUCCAAAACUCUGGAAUGUGAAAUGUCCUUGUGGAGCAGUCAGGCGUGAGGAAAAUGUUUCUAAUUGUCAUGUAUAUCUGGAGCUAGAUUACAGAGAGAGAGCAACCGAUCCUGAUCGUACUUGCAAGCUCUACGAUCUGCCUACAUCUUUGAACUUGAGCAGAGAAUACAGAUUAGCUGGAGUCGUCUCAUACGAUGCGACCUAUGAUCAUUUCGUGGCCUACUGUUGCCGUCGUACUGGAACGUGGGAGUACCAUGAUGGACUACUCAGUAAAGUAAAACCUGUGAAAGGAAAUCCGGUGAUACAACCUGAAUGUGCCUUGUAUCUGAUUAAUCAGUGAGCAGGAACGUUCACUACGCUCAACAUUUCAGUUUUCUGUGUCGCCAAAGCUAGUUCUUUAUCUUAAGUAUAUUAGUUAUAAUAUGAUUCUUAUCGAAUGUUAUUUGCUGAAAUAAAGAUUUUAU